AUGGGCGCAAGCCUGAUCCAGCCAAUACCGCGUGGGUGAAGAAGGCCUUCGGGUUGUAAAGCCCUUUUGUUGGGAAAGAAAAGCAGCCGGCUAAUACCCGGUUGUUCUGACGGUACCCAAAGAAUAAGCACCGGCUAACUUCGUGCCAGCAGCCGCGGUAAUACGAAGGGUGCAAGCGUUACUCGGAAUUACUGGGCGUAAAGCGUGCGUAGGUGGUUGUUUAAGUCUGUUGUGAAAGCCCUGGGCUCAACCUGGGAAUUGCAGUGGAUACUGGGCGACUAGAGUGUGGUAGAGGGUAGUGGAAUUCCCGGUGUAGCAGUGAAAUGCGUAGAGAUCGGGAGGAACAUCCAUGGCGAAGGCAGCUACCUGGACCAACACUGACACUGAGGCACGAAAGCGUGGGGAGCAAACAGGAUUAGAUACCCUGGUAGUCCACGCCCUAAACGAUGCGAACUGGAUGUUGGGUGCAAUUUGGCACGCAGUAUCGAAGCUAACGCGUUAAGUUCGCCGC
RNAcentral lists this ribosomal RNA (511 nucleotides) under Stenotrophomonas sp. GNCB-18. Its description in RNAcentral is "bacterial SSU rRNA". It matches the Rfam family "Bacterial small subunit ribosomal RNA", at positions 371 to 872 of the family's 1533-position model. The record is from RNAcentral. Lineage: Bacteria; Pseudomonadati; Pseudomonadota; Gammaproteobacteria; Lysobacterales; Lysobacteraceae.